This is a non-coding RNA of Bactrocera oleae (olive fruit fly), 2027 nucleotides long. Lineage: Eukaryota; Metazoa; Arthropoda; Insecta; Diptera; Tephritidae. The record is from RefSeq and is a predicted model, not a curated record.
UAAUAUUAUAAAUGUGAAUAUAAGUAUGUUUGUUACGCUUUCACUUUGAAACUACUUAGGCAAUCAUAGAAUACAUAUUUUAAAAGAAAAAUUAUAUUUUUACCGGAUUGAGAAAAAAUCUCUUUUGGCAGAUUUGAUUAAGAGAUUUUUUCUCAAUCCAUACAAAAUGUUCGGAGUGGUAUAGUAAAGAGUUUGGAUAAUAGAACGAUUGUGCCCUAUUCGCCGAUUUUGUGUAAAUUAUUAAAAGGUCCACAUUAAGGUUGAAGUAUAUCAAUAAGGAAAGCAAUCAGGCGAUCUUCAAUCUGCAUAAUGAAGGUACUGUUAGCUCAUAAAUAAAAUAUAAACCUAUCAAGAAGGAAGAUACAUAAAUCAGUAGCGUGGCAGUUGCUUGACUUUCCAUUACAUAAAAGAUAUACGACUCAUUUUCAUCUUGCAGUACAUUUGGAAAAUCGACAGCGUGCUUAAUUUUAUGAGAAACCCUUUUAAGAAAGAACGAUCCUUACGCAAGAACAUUAUUGUACUCUGAGGUUCCCCGUUAUUUUACAUGGAACACCUCAAAAAAGAAAUGGCAUCAACCUGUUCAAAAUCAACCUGAGGUUAAAACGUCGAUCGCUCUUGGUCGUGUCUACACGGUACAUGUUACAAGAAAGAUAUUCAAUGGUCAAGAAUGUUAAACUUAAAGAGAAAUAUGUGAAGUUCGGCGAUUGAUAGAAAAUGAUAAUUAUAAUUAUUGUAUAAAGUAUUUAUAAUAUAUACAAUGAUUAUAAUCAUUCGGACGAAAGUAUGAAGGAAGUUGUUCAAUGUCAAUCACCAAAUAAAAUAUGGGAACUUUACAUGAAUUGCAGUAAAUGCAUACAUAUAUGGUUUUCAAUGAAGACACUCAUUAUAAUAGGAAACAAGAUUUUAACAAUAGUCGAAAAAAGCAAUAUCAUUUUGAAAUACAAAGUUCUAAACGAGCCAAUGGAGAUGAUUUUAAUAAUGAAAUGGUCAAGAAUUUAACUUUGCUUUUAGAAAAUUGCAGCAUCAAGUGACAAAAUUAGAGUCCGGAGCAAAAUCAUGUCUUCAAUCAAGUUAUGCGUAAAAUAGAUAGCAAAGAACUCUCUUUUUUCUCCCACCUGGAGAAACCGGAAACCUAUGAAUUGCUGCGACCCUAUUGCACGGUUGCCAUUCGACACAUUCUGUUUAAGAAUUACCAUUGAAUCUUGUCCCGGAAGAUUUGCCUAUUUGUAAUUUCAGUAAAUAGCUCGCAAGGUAGAAUGCUGCAAGGCAAUAGAAAUUUUAAACCGGACACUUAUCAUCAAGCUUUUUGAAAAAUUCAGUUUGAAAACGAAUGACGUAGAUUUCGGCGUUUAAGCAGAAAUAUUGUUGAAAAUCGGUGAUUGUUGUUUAGACGUUGACGACUAUGGUUAUAUUUCGUUUUCGAGAAAAUUUUGUAAUUUAGUAGAAUAUGAUGAUGGUCUCAUUUCUCCAGCUUUUCCGGAAUUGCACCAAAAUAUAGUGAUCAGUGGUUGUGCACAAACAAAUGAAGUGAUUGUGAAAUUUUAGCGAAAUUUAGUUGUUCGGAGGUUAUGUAAUGUAACAAGGCUUCGCAUUAGAAAAUUAGGACAAAAUAUUCUUGAAGCCACUAUAUUAAGAGGUGCCGAUAAGGAAGAACACGUUAUCAUAUCUCUAUACUAAUUAUUCCCUCUGAUCUUCCUUUUUAAUUCAAAAGGGUUCAUUUUGCCGUCAAGCUGAACUUUGCUGUCACUAUAAACAAAGCACAAGGGCAGACAUUACAGGUAGCAGAGAUGCAAAGACAAUAAUAAUUGUGUAUUCGAUGAAAAAUAGUUUUAAUAACUCAGUUUAAAGCAAGAUCGGUUAACGAUCAUUCCAUAUUUUCCAGGUUCAUAUGUUUCUCAAACACAUAUUUCAUUAAAAUUUGUUACCAUCUCAGUCAAGGAGAGAUUUGAAUAUUUACUCAAAUUUAUAUGUACCUUUAAAUAAAGCAAUGUCUCAGUUACCGUAGCGUUUGGUGACAUUAUCAUUCA